Molecule: long non-coding RNA, 625 nt
Organism: Cyprinus carpio (common carp)
Lineage: Eukaryota; Metazoa; Chordata; Actinopteri; Cypriniformes; Cyprinidae
Source: Ensembl
GAUGAAAGUACUGAUCUGGAGACCUUUGCUACAAUUUCCUUGAAAGCUUAUCCUACUGGCCAGCGGCUGUGUGAGCCAGUGAGAGUACCAGGGACACCAGAAGUAUUUGACAGGUCAUACGUACUGGAAAAAAUCACAGGUAAAAUCUGGAACUGAGAUGUUUGUUAUACCAUCAUCUUAAUUCAUCACCGCAUCCAUAAUAUGAGGUUUUAUUUUAGAUGGUGUAAAAAUUCCAAACUGUGAUGAGGUGAAUCUGCUGGAGUCAUCGAUUCAAAGAGCUAAAGAUAUCGAGAAAAUUUCGCUUAGUCUUCCGGCAUCAUUUGAUAGGUUUCCAUUGUGGAUCUUUUAUAACAGCACCCCACAAUGUUGCAACUUUCAGAUUGAACAGAAGAAAACAUUUUCAGACAUGUUUGAGGAUGUCAAACGGUACAGUCACUUGAUUGUCACACCACCACUGCAACUGGCAAAUAUGGGAACUGAGGCUCCUCGGUUGGUGUAUCUCAGUGAAGAUAAUCUAGGUGUUUACUUGAGCAAAGACAAGGGAGACCCGUUUAAGAUUUGGGUUUAUGACUGUCUGUCUGGAACAGAAACCAUAAAAAAUGUGAAUGAUCUGGCUAAAAUGUAA